Molecule: ribosomal RNA, 433 nt
Filed under: uncultured bacterium
Lineage: Bacteria
Description: partial 16S ribosomal RNA
Rfam family: Bacterial small subunit ribosomal RNA
Source: RNAcentral
AACGAACGCUGGCGGCAUGCCUAACACAUGCAAGUCGAACGAAGGCUUCGGCCUUAGUGGCGCACGGGUGCGUAACGCGUGGGAAUCUGCCCUUUGCUUCGGAAUAACAGUUAGAAAUGACUGCUAAUACCGGAUAAUGUCGCAAGACCAAAGAUUUAUCGGCAAAGGAUGAGCCCGCGUAGGAUUAGCUAGUUGGUGGGGUAAAGGCCUACCAAGGCGACGAUCCUUAGCUGGUCUGAGAGGAUGAUCAGCCACACUGGGACUGAGACACGGCCCAGACUCCUACGGGAGGCAGCAGUGGGGAAUAUUGGACAAUGGGCGAAAGCCUGAUCCAGCAAUGCCGCGUGAGUGAUGAAGGCCUUAGGGUUGUAAAGCUCUUUUACCCGGGAUGAUAAUGACAGUACCGGGAGAAUAAGCUCCGGCUAACUCCGUG